UUUAACAAAGAGAAGCGAAACUGCGAAGUGGAGCAAAACUCUAAAAAACAAUCUCAGUUCAGAUUGCAGGCUGCAACUCGCCUGCAUGAAGUCGGAAUUGCUAGUAAUCGUAGGUCAGCAUACUACGGUGAAUACGUUCCCGGGCCUUGUACACACCGCCCGUCAAACCAUGAGAGUUGGCAACACCCGAAGUCGGUAGUCUAACCGCAAGGAGGACGCCGCCGAAGGUGGGGUUGAUGAUUAGGGUUAAGUCGUAACAAGGUAUC
Molecule: ribosomal RNA, 266 nt
Filed under: uncultured bacterium
Lineage: Bacteria
Description: partial 16S ribosomal RNA
Rfam family: Bacterial small subunit ribosomal RNA
Source: RNAcentral